RNAcentral lists this ribosomal RNA (1462 nucleotides) under uncultured bacterium. RNAcentral describes it as "partial 16S ribosomal RNA". It matches the Rfam family "Bacterial small subunit ribosomal RNA". The record is from RNAcentral.
AGAGUUUGAUCCUGGCUCAGGAUGAACGCUGGCGGCGUGCUUAAGCUAUGCAAGUGGAACGGUUCCGGCUUUUGUCGGAAUAGUCGCGAACGGGUGAGUAAUACGUGGAAACGUGCCAAAAAGUCAAGGAUAACUUCGUGAAAGCGGGGCUAAUCCUGGAUAGUGUUCGGCUUUAUGUCGGACUAAAGGGCGUAACUGCUCGCUUUUUGAUCGGUCCACGGCCUAUCAGCUUGUUGGUAGGGUAAGAGCCUACCAAGGCGACGACGGGUAGGGGGCGUGAGAGCGUGUUCCCCCACAAUGGCACUGAGAUACGGGCCAUACUCCUACGGGAGGCAGCAAGUAGGAAUCUUGCGCAAUGGGCGAAAGCCUGACGCAGCGACGCCGCGUGAGGGAUGAAGGUUGAAAGAUUGUAAACCUCUUUUAUUUCAAUAUAGAUUGAGAUGAAUAAGCACCAGCAAACUACGUGCCAGCAGCGGCGGUAAUUCGUAGGGUGCGAGCGUUAUCCGGAUUUAUUGGGCGUAAAGGGUUGAGUAGGCGCCUUUCCAAGUUUUGCUUUAAAUACUAAGGCUUAACCUUAGAACCUGGCAAAAAACUGGAUGGGUAGAGGCACAGAGGGGGAAGUGGAACUGCCGGUGUAGCGGUUAAAUGCGUUGAUAUCGGCAAGAACACCGAGGGCGAAGGCAGCUUCCUGGAUGUAGCCUGACGCUUAGUCACGAAAGCUAGGGUAGCAAAACGGAUUAGAUACCCGUGUAGUCCUAGCUGUAAACGAUGGAUACUAGAUCCCCGACCUAUUGGGAAUGGGAAUGAUUUUUCCUAUUUCCGGUAGGCUGGGGGUCGUAGCUAACGCAUUAAGUAUCCCGCCUGGGGAGUACGACCGCAAGGUUGAAACUCAAAGGAAUUGACGGGGGAACGCACAAGCGGUGGAGCGCGUGGUUUAAUUGGAUGUUGAGCCAAGAACCUUACCAGGGUUUGACAUUCCGCUGCACUCUUAGCGAAAGUUAAGAUCCCUUCGAGGGUGCGGAACAGGUGUUGCACGGCAGUCGUCAGCUCGUGGCGUGAGCCGUAGGGUUAAGUCCUAAAACGAGCGCAACCCGUACCCCGAUUUGUAUCACUAUCGGGGAACUGCUUCGGUAACGGAGAGGAAGGUGCGGACGACGUCUUGUCAGCGUGGCCCUUAUGCCCUGGGCGACACACGCGCUACAAUGGUUAGUACAACAGGUUGCCAAGCCGUAAGGCGGAGCUAAUCCUCAAAACUAAUCUCAGUUCGGAUUGAGGUCUGAAAUUCGACCUCAUGAGGCUGGAAUCGCUAGUAACCUGCAAAUCAGCCAUGUUGCGGUGAAUACGUUCUCGUUCCUUGUACACACCGCCCGUCAGUUCAGGAAAGUUGGGGACGCCCGAAAUUCGAUGUUAUUUCGAAUGAAGGUGGAUUCAGCGAUCAGGGAUAAGUCGUAACAAGGUAACC